This 300-nucleotide ribosomal RNA is filed under the name uncultured eukaryote. RNAcentral's name for it is "partial 18S ribosomal RNA". It matches the Rfam family "Eukaryotic small subunit ribosomal RNA", at positions 1470 to 1796 of the family's 1831-position model. The record is from RNAcentral.
CCCUUAGAUGUUCUGGGCCGCACGCGCGCUACACUGAUGCAUUCAACGAGUCCAACCUUGACCGAGAGGUCCGGGUAAUCUUUGAAACUGCAUCGUGAUGGGGCUAGAUUAUUGCAAUUAUUAAUCUUCAACGAGGAAUGCCUAGUAAGCGUGAUUCAUCAAAUCGCGUUGAUUACGUCCCUGCCGUUUGUACACACCGCCCGUCGUUUCUUCCGACUGAUACUCAUUGUGAGUUGCAAGGACCCUUUAUUGGGAAAUUGCUGCAAAUGCUUUGUAUUGGAGGAAGAAAAAGUCGUAACA